Molecule: ribosomal RNA, 257 nt
Filed under: uncultured bacterium
Lineage: Bacteria
Description: partial 16S ribosomal RNA
Rfam family: Bacterial small subunit ribosomal RNA
Source: RNAcentral
UACGGGGGGCAAGGCGUUGUUCGGAAUUACUGGCGUAAAGGGCUCGUAGGCGGCCAACUAAGUCAGACGGUGAAAUCCCUCGGCUUAACCGGGGAACUGCGUCUGAUACUGGAUGGCUUGAGGUUGGGAGAGGGAGUGCGGAAUUCCAGGUGUAGCGGUGAAAUGCGUAGAUAUCUGGAGGAACACCGGUGGCGAAGGCGGCAUCCUGGACCCAAUUCUGACGCUGAGGAGCGGAAAAGCCAGGGGAGGCAAACGGG